GACGAACGCUGGCGGCGUGCUUAACACAUGCAAGUCGAACGCUGAAGCUUGGUGCUUGCACUGGGUGGAUGAGUAGCGAACGGGUGAGUAAUACGUGAGUAACCUGCCCUUGGCUCUGGGAUAAGCCUGGGAAACUGGGUCUAAUACUGGAUACGACAUGUCACCGCAUGGUGGUGUGUGGAAAGGGUUUUACUGGUUUUGGAUGGGCUCACGGCCUAUCAGCUUGUUGGUGGGGUAAUGGCUCACCAAGGCGACGACGGGUAGCCGGCCUGAGAGGGUGACCGGCCACACUGGGACUGAGACACGGCCCAGACUCCUACGGGAGGCAGCAGUGGGGAAUAUUGCACAAUGGGCGGAAGCCUGAUGCAGCGACGCCGCGUGAGGGAUGACGGCCUUCGGGUUGUAAACCUCCUUCAGCACGGAAGAAGCGAAAGUGACGGUACGUGCAGAAGAAGCGCCGGCUAACUACGUG
This 472-nucleotide ribosomal RNA is filed under the name uncultured bacterium. Its description in RNAcentral is "partial 16S ribosomal RNA". It matches the Rfam family "Bacterial small subunit ribosomal RNA", at positions 28 to 507 of the family's 1533-position model. The record is from RNAcentral.